GAUGAACGCUGGCGGCGUGCCUAAUACAUGCAAGUCGAGCGAACGGACGAGAAGCUUGUGUCUCUGCUGUUAGCGGCGGACGGGUGAGUAACACGUGGAUAACCUACCUAUAAGACUGGGAUAACUUCGGGAAAACGGAGCUAAUACCGGAUAAUAUUUUGAACCGCAUGGUUCAAAAGUGAAAGACGGUCUUGCUGUCACUUAUAGACGGAUCCGCGCUGGAUUAGCUAGUUGGUAAGGUAACGGCCUACCAAGGCAACGAUGCGUAGCCGAGCUGAGAGGAUGAUCAGCUACACUGGAACUGAGACACGGUCCAGACUCCUACGGGAGGCAGCAGUGGGGAAUAUUGGUCAAUGGGCGCAAGCCUGAUCCAGCCAUACCGCGUGGGUGAAGAAGGCCUUCGGGUUGUAAAGCUCUUUUGUUGGGAAAGAAAAGCAGUAUGUGAAUACCCCGAUGUUCUGACGGUACCCAAAGAAUAAGCACCGGCUAACUUCGUG
This 497-nucleotide ribosomal RNA is filed under the name uncultured bacterium. RNAcentral's name for it is "partial 16S ribosomal RNA". It matches the Rfam family "Bacterial small subunit ribosomal RNA", at positions 28 to 507 of the family's 1533-position model. The record is from RNAcentral.